UUAAGCGACUAAGCGUACACGGUGGAUGCCCUGGCAGUCAGAGGCGAUGAAGGACGUGCUAAUCUGCGAUAAGCGUCGGUGAGGUGAUAUGAACCGUUAUAACCGGCGAUUUCCGAAUGGGGAAACCCAGUGUGUUUCGACACACUAUCAUUAACUGAAUCCAUAGGUUAAUGAGGCGAACCGGGGGAACUGAAACAUCUAAGUACCCCGAGGAAAAGAAAUCAACCGAGAUUCCCCCAGUAGCGGCGAGCGAACGGGGAGGAGCCCAGAGCCUGAAUCAGUGUGUGUGUUAGUGGAAGCGUCUGGAAAGGCGCGCGAUACAGGGUGACAGCCCCGUACACAAAAAUGCACAUAUUGUGAGCUCGAUGAGUAGGGCGGGACACGUGGUAUCCUGUCUGAAUAUGGGGGGACCAUCCUCCAAGGCUAAAUACUCCUGACUGACCGAUAGUGAACCAGUACCGUGAGGGAAAGGCGAAAAGAACCCCGGCGAGGGGAGUGAAAAAGAACCUGAAACCGUGUACGUACAAGCAGUGGGAGCCUCUUUAUGGGGUGACUGCGUACCUUUUGUAUAAUGGGUCAGCGACUUAUAUUCUGUAGCAAGGUUAACCGAAUAGGGGAGCCGAAGGGAAACCGAGUCUUAACUGGGCGUUAAGUUGCAGGGUAUAGACCCGAAACCCGGUGAUCUAGCCAUGGGCAGGUUGAAGGUUGGGUAACACUAACUGGAGGACCGAACCGACUAAUGUUGAAAAAUUAGCGGAUGACUUGUGGCUGGGGGUGAAAGGCCAAUCAAACCGGGAGAUAGCUGGUUCUCCCCGAAAGCUAUUUAGGUAGCGCCUCGUGAAUUCAUCUCCGGGGGUAGAGCACUGUUUCGGCAAGGGGGUCAUCCCGACUUACCAACCCGAUGCAAACUGCGAAUACCGGAGAAUGUUAUCACGGGAGACACACGGCGGGUGCUAACGUCCGUCGUGAAGAGGGAAACAACCCAGACCGCCAGCUAAGGUCCCAAAGUCAUGGUUAAGUGGGAAACGAUGUGGGAAGGCCCAGACAGCCAGGAUGUUGGCUUAGAAGCAGCCAUCAUUUAAAGAAAGCGUAAUAGCUCACUGGUCGAGUCGGCCUGCGCGGAAGAUGUAACGGGGCUAAACCAUGCACCGAAGCUGCGGCAGCGACACUAUGUGUUGUUGGGUAGGGGAGCGUUCUGUAAGCCUGUGAAGGUGGCCUGUGAGGGUUGCUGGAGGUAUCAGAAGUGCGAAUGCUGACAUAAGUAACGAUAAAGCGGGUGAAAAGCCCGCUCGCCGGAAGACCAAGGGUUCCUGUCCAACGUUAAUCGGGGCAGGGUGAGUCGACCCCUAAGGCGAGGCCGAAAGGCGUAGUCGAUGGGAAACAGGUUAAUAUUCCUGUACUUGGUGUUACUGCGAAGGGGGGACGGAGAAGGCUAUGUUGGCCGGGCGACGGUUGUCCCGGUUUAAGCGUGUAGGCUGGUUUUCCAGGCAAAUCCGGAAAACCAAGGCUGAGGCGUGAUGACGAGGCACUACGGUGCUGAAGCGACAAAUGCCCUGCUUCCAGGAAAAGCCUCUAAGCAUCAGGUAACAUCAAAUCGUACCCCAAACCGACACAGGUGGUCAGGUAGAGAAUACCAAGGCGCUUGAGAGAACUCGGGUGAAGGAACUAGGCAAAAUGGUGCCGUAACUUCGGGAGAAGGCACGCUGAUAUGUAGGUGAAGCGACUUGCUCGUGGAGCUGAAAUCAGUCGAAGAUACCAGCUGGCUGCAACUGUUUAUUAAAAACACAGCACUGUGCAAACACGAAAGUGGACGUAUACGGUGUGACGCCUGCCCGGUGCCGGAAGGUUAAUUGAUGGGGUUAGCGGUAACGCGAAGCUCUUGAUCGAAGCCCCGGUAAACGGCGGCCGUAACUAUAACGGUCCUAAGGUAGCGAAAUUCCUUGUCGGGUAAGUUCCGACCUGCACGAAUGGCGUAAUGAUGGCCAGGCUGUCUCCACCCGAGACUCAGUGAAAUUGAACUCGCUGUGAAGAUGCAGUGUACCCGCGGCAAGACGGAAAGACCCCGUGAACCUUUACUAUAGCUUGACACUGAACAUUGAGCCUUGAUGUGUAGGAUAGGUGGGAGGCUUUGAAGUGUGGACGCCAGUCUGCAUGGAGCCGACCUUGAAAUACCACCCUUUAAUGUUUGAUGUUCUAACGUUGGCCCGUAAUCCGGGUUGCGGACAGUGUCUGGUGGGUAGUUUGACUGGGGCGGUCUCCUCCUAAAGAGUAACGGAGGAGCACGAAGGUUGGCUAAUCCUGGUCGGACAUCAGGAGGUUAGUGCAAUGGCAUAAGCCAGCUUGACUGCGAGCGUGACGGCGCGAGCAGGUGCGAAAGCAGGUCAUAGUGAUCCGGUGGUUCUGAAUGGAAGGGCCAUCGCUCAACGGAUAAAAGGUACUCCGGGGAUAACAGGCUGAUACCGCCCAAGAGUUCAUAUCGACGGCGGUGUUUGGCACCUCGAUGUCGGCUCAUCACAUCCUGGGGCUGAAGUAGGUCCCAAGGGUAUGGCUGUUCGCCAUUUAAAGUGGUACGCGAGCUGGGUUUAGAACGUCGUGAGACAGUUCGGUCCCUAUCUGCCGUGGGCGCUGGAGAACUGAGGGGGGCUGCUCCUAGUACGAGAGGACCGGAGUGGACGCAUCACUGGUGUUCGGGUUGUCAUGCCAAUGGCACUGCCCGGUAGCUAAAUGCGGAAGAGAUAAGUGCUGAAAGCAUCUAAGCACGAAACUUGCCCCGAGAUGAGUUCUCCCUGAGACUUUGAGAGUCCUGAAGGAACGUUGAAGACGACGACGUUGAUAGGCCGGGUGUGUAAGCGCAGCGAUGCGUUGAGCUAACCGGUACUAAUGAACCGUGAGGCUUAACCUU
RNAcentral lists this ribosomal RNA (2902 nucleotides) under Escherichia coli HVH 12 (4-7653042). RNAcentral's name for it is "bacterial LSU rRNA". It matches the Rfam family "Bacterial large subunit ribosomal RNA". RNAcentral also lists the same sequence under 1 other name. Lineage: Bacteria; Pseudomonadati; Pseudomonadota; Gammaproteobacteria; Enterobacterales; Enterobacteriaceae. The record is from RNAcentral.